This is a long non-coding RNA of Pelmatolapia mariae (spotted tilapia), 3545 nucleotides long. RefSeq lists it as uncharacterized. Lineage: Eukaryota; Metazoa; Chordata; Actinopteri; Cichliformes; Cichlidae. The record is from RefSeq and is a predicted model, not a curated record. The transcript has 8 exons.
GGGAAGUUGUUAUGCCCAGCUAGUUUGCUACAAGUGCUCAGUGGAGGUGAAACCUUUGCCCACGCAUGCCUAUCCUGGCCUUUACCUGCUCCCUCCUAUACCGAGGUGGUGUAUUUGAUCUGAACCAGUGUAAAGGUUGCAGUUCAAUGGCCUGAGGUGGAAGCAGUGAGGAUUACUACUGCUCCACUUGUUCCAAGGCUUCUUGCACAACUUGACCAAUACACUGACCAGCUCAUAAAAGUCUUCAAGAAAAAAGGAGGCGCUGCAGGGAAGAAAAUUAGACAAAUUUUGGCCCCAGCCACACAGAAGGAAACUAUUGAAAAGAGGAGGGAGUGUGUCCUCAGGGCACUACCUCCUUACAUGAAUGAAGACCCAAGCAUCCUGCUGUUGUAAUGUUGUCGUUGUUAUCAUUUGCAUGGAAUUUUAAAUGUUUUGGGGAAUAUUUAUGUAUACCCACAUUUCAGGAAGAGUUGCAAUUUGAUGCAGUCCAAUACAAGAAGUUAUAUAUUAUAUAUAUAUAUGUAUAUCUAUAAAAAAUAAAAAAAAUUCCCCGCUCGCCCCUGCGGGCUGUCAAUCGUUCAAGCUCGGGUCCUCUACCAGAGGCCUGGGAGCUUGAGGGUCCUGCGCAGUAUCUUAGCUGUUCCUAGGACUGCGCUCUUCUGGACAGAGAUCUCCAAUGUUGUUCCCGGGAUCUGCUGGAGCCACUCGCUUAGCUUUGGAGUCACUGCACCUCAGGCACGUGCAGAGGGGGAGGCGGUAGGGGCUUGAGCACCCGCCCCUUUCCUGAUGGCUGCCCACGGUGCCCUUUUGUUGGAGGCAAUUUUUUUAAAAAAAAUUAAUAAUUUUUUUUUUAAAUGUGUGUGUGCGUGUGGAGUCCUGUCUGUGCCCCUCAACAAUAAUAUUUAACUAGUAAUCACAGUUUUGCUAAUUAAAAGGAUCUGGCUUACAUCAGUCACACGAUCACCAUAAACCAAUGAUCGCCCUUGACGGCAGAACGCGCUGGUUACGUGACGGGAACGAGCUCACAAAGAGCACGCGCAUUUUUGGCGGUCCGGAGCUGUAGGAGAAAAACAAAUUACCUCAGAGACACAGACUGUGUCCCAAAACGUCGGCUGCAUCCUCCGGAGGCCGCAUUUGAAGGCCGAUUACGUCACAGCCAGGCGACAAAGGCUGUCCCAAUUCGUCGACUCCUUCAAAUGCGGCCGACAAAUGCGUCCUUCAUUUCCCUGAAUUUGAAGGAUGGGUCAGGUGUGUCCUUCGUGGCCCACCAUAUCCCAGAAUUCAUAGCGCGGCCCAGCCAAAUUUCAGCUGCCAACAAUGACGGCCGCUACUAAGUUUUAAAAUAAGUCUUAUUAAUCUUUCAGGGUCACAAAAUAAACUUUUAACAUAUUUUCAGGCGAGAAAGUAGCUGUGUAAAUUACAAAUAUCUGCUUGGUUUAUCAAGACAUUGUAUAUUUGCAAAAGUGUGCCGAAGUUUUCGGAGACGUCUGUUACCCACCCGCUCGAUAGCAAGCCGGGGGGUUCAAUGGUCACUCCAGCCGGCGAGAGCAGCAGACUCCCGGCUUCAUCGUUUUUAGACCCUCGCUCUUUCGCUACUCAGGUUAAACAUGAUAUAUAAGUCACUCGGAUAACUUAAAAAUGUAAUUGUUUGGCUUUUUUCUGUGUUUUAUUUGUUCCAGAGUAAAUCGGUUUGGCUGAGAUCAAAGUUAUUCGAUUGUUAGAUUAAAUAAAACUUUAUUAAUCCAUUGGGUGGGUUCCUCCGGGAUUUUCACACAGCUGAAUAAACGUUAAACAGAAAAGUGUCUGUGAAGGUUCUCAGUCAUCCAGGUCAUCGUAGUCAAAGGAGUUUGCAAAGAAAAGCGUCUGGACUUCUUUAAGUUGCUUGAAGACGUUUCACCUCUCAUCCGAGAAGCUUCUUCAGUUCUAAGGUCAAAUGGCCGAAAGUCCCAGAUUUAAACCCAGUGGGAGUGUCCCCCCAAAGAGGGACAAAGGACCCCCUGAUGAUCCUCUAAUCACAUGAGCCAAGGUGUGAAAGUGGGUUAAACAGAAAACUGAUUAAACAGAAGUGUGAGACGGCCGAGAAUUUACGCCAGUGUUCUGUUAUAUUUUAGAUAGCAAGGAGCAGACGGCCGAGUUUAUUAAACUCCACCGACACAGCGGUGACGCAAAUCUGAAGGCUAGACCGUCCCAUUUCACAGCCUCGCACUUCCGGCCUUCUCGGUCUUUGAAGGACCCGGCCCACGUAGACCGCGAAGGCCGGGUCCUCCGAAGGAUGCAGCCGACGUUUUGGGACACAGCUACAGACUGAUGCGACAAAACCAACAUGGCUGGUAAGGACAUGAGGAGGAAACAGUAGCAGCUGUGUGAGGCUACUAAAGGCAGUGGAUCCCUCAGCAGCUGGAUUACAAAGAGCACAGUCAGCUACCAUCUCUCCUAUGGACUUUUUAAUGUCUACAGUCUCAGAUCAACACAGCCCUGCCCUCCAGCACUAUCAGCAGCAGGAGAAACAGAAACCCCUCAACAGCAACAUUGUACCCAUCAGCUUUGAGCACCCACCCCUAUAAAUGUCUCUGCACGGCCCUGCUGCACCUAGUGCUCCGAUUACCACUGGGACCACCUUCACCCUCCACAUCUUCUCGAGCUCUUCUCUGAGCCCUUGGUAUUUCUCGAGCUUCUCGUGUUCCUUCUUCCUGAUGUUGCUGUCAUUGGGAACCACUACUAAGAGACAAUCAGAAGUAUUGAGAUUUAAAGGAUUUAAUUGAGAGAUGAUACUGCACCAGAAAUGUUGAAGGGUGUUGUGUAUAUUAACGUUCAAGGCAUAUUGUUAUGAGGUGGAAGCAUGUUCAUAUUGUGUUUGUGCUACAUUGUGUGCAUUGUAAAGGUAAUUGCAUUACAUAUCAGGAAUAAGGGUAAGUUAGGAAUGCAGGAUGAAUGUAUAUUUUGCAGACUUUUAAAGACGAACAAUUGUUUCCAUGUUAAAAUGUUUCCAACUCGAGUUUUUCUUCCAAGCACUGGUAAAAGAAAUGUUGACAGUGGCAAGUGUUAAAUGGUUACUGCUGUGCUGUUGCAACAAAACUGAAAGCUGACAAGCUGUUUUAUUAAAGUUGUAUUUGGGAUGGUGAUAUCAUUUUGUUGGAUUGCUAAUAUCAGUGGACUAUUUUUUUUAUUAUUAUUACAUUAAUGUUUUUUAUUGUGUCUGUUGAGGUGGACACUUCAGUUUGCAUUGUUAAAGGAAAGCACUUCAUUGCUGUUGUGUUACUGGACUGACACUAAGCAAUCACUGUAAAUAGCAACUUUGCUAUCCAUUUUAGACACUUAAAGGAAAAGCGGUCCACAGACCUUACUAGCAUCACAUGCGCAUAACUCAAGUGUCUGUUAUGUGAUCUUCAGUGUUUUUCUUCUAUUUCUGGCAGAUGCAGACAUUUAAUUUAAAAUCAUUACUUUGAUGUUGCAUCUGUCUACAUACUGUAAGUUACUAACCCUAAUGAGCUGUUGUGUUUUGUUUUGGACUGGGUUUACACAAAUGCUCACUGAAUGUGUUGGCA